AUCGCUUCUCAGCCUUUUGGCUAAGAUCAAGUGUAGUAUCUGUUCUUAUCAGUUUAAUCAAUCAAGUAAACAAAGUAUUUCCAGAAUCCAACCGAUCCUUU
Molecule: small nuclear RNA, 101 nt
Organism: Callithrix jacchus (white-tufted-ear marmoset)
Lineage: Eukaryota; Metazoa; Chordata; Mammalia; Primates; Cebidae
Gene: U2
Rfam family: U2 spliceosomal RNA
About the family: U2 is a small nuclear RNA (snRNA) component of the spliceosome (involved in pre-mRNA splicing). Complementary binding between U2 snRNA (in an area lying towards the 5' end but 3' to hairpin I) and the branchpoint sequence (BPS) of the intron results the bulging out of an unpaired adenosine, on the BPS, which initiates a nucleophilic attack at the intronic 5' splice site, thus starting the first of two transesterification reactions that mediate splicing.
Source: Ensembl